RNAcentral lists this small RNA (28 nucleotides) under Bombyx mori (domestic silkworm). Its description in RNAcentral is "ovarian small RNA-8414". Lineage: Eukaryota; Metazoa; Arthropoda; Insecta; Lepidoptera; Bombycidae. The record is from RNAcentral.
UGAUUGAGGGUAUGCGAUAUUAUUUUGA